Molecule: long non-coding RNA, 561 nt
Organism: Callorhinus ursinus (northern fur seal)
Lineage: Eukaryota; Metazoa; Chordata; Mammalia; Carnivora; Otariidae
Source: RefSeq, a predicted model, not a curated record
CCCACACAGAGCAUCUCCAGCAGUGCUGCUCCUAAGUCUGGUUUCUUGGAUGAGGAAACAGAUAUUGAUCAUCAUACGCAAGUUCACACAGCCAAUAAUUUGUGGAGUCAGGAUUUGAACCCAGAUUGCCUGACUCCCAAGCUCAUGUUUGUUGAAUGAAUAAAUGAAUGAAUGAUUGACUUAGCCACAGUUUACCCAGGCAUGCCCAGAGCAGGAUCACACCCUUGGUAUGGACAAACUUCCAGAGAGGGAAUGGAGGACUUACCUACGUCCUUGCUCGCUGCCCAUGACUGAGCUUUACAAUGCCCGAUGAGGACAGUAUGCUGCGCUGAGCAAGAAGUGACUGAUGUCAGCUGGCUGUAUGACCUUGGGUAUGACCUUCCGGUGUGAGUUUCUUCAUCUAAAAACAAAAUGAAAGGAUUCUUCUGGGUGAUUAAAAUCUCCAGCAAACUACAUAUUGAAUCACUUCCAAGACAUCGCUGACAAGUAACCAUCAGCUUCUGUUUGCAUUCUGCUAGGGACAGGGUGCUCACUACCUCAUGAGCAGCCUAUUUCACCAGA